GGCCCUACGGGGCGCAGCAGUGGGGAAUAUUGCACAAUGGGGGAAACCCUGAUGCAGCGACGCCGCGUGAGUGAAGAAGUAUUUCGGUACGUAAAGCUCUAUCAGCAGGGAAGAAAAAAAGUCCUUUGGACUUUGGACGGUACCUGACCAAGAAGCCCCGGCUAACUACGUGCCAGCAGCCGCGGUAAUACGUAGGGGGCAAGCGUUAUCCGGAUUUACUGGGUGUAAAGGGUGCGUAGGCGGCCUGCUAAGACUGGAGUGAAAGGUACCGGCUCAACCGGUACAGGCUCUGGAAACUGGCGGGG
This 305-nucleotide ribosomal RNA is filed under the name uncultured bacterium. Its description in RNAcentral is "bacterial SSU rRNA". It matches the Rfam family "Bacterial small subunit ribosomal RNA", at positions 335 to 641 of the family's 1533-position model. The record is from RNAcentral.